Molecule: long non-coding RNA, 1289 nt
Organism: Rhipicephalus microplus (southern cattle tick)
Lineage: Eukaryota; Metazoa; Arthropoda; Arachnida; Ixodida; Ixodidae
Source: RefSeq, a predicted model, not a curated record
AAAGGCCAGCCUGUACAGUACCACGUGGCGUUUACGUCACACCCUGGUAUCGGAUAAAAGGACGCCGGGCCACUGCGACGGACACUUGGCAGCUGGGGCAGCGUACCGAGCGUAUCCGUAACGCUUCCACUUGUUUCUUCAGGGCCUUCCGGAGCAAGCGCGACAGUCUGCCUGAAAGUUCGUGGCCAAGCUACGUAACCGCUGCAUCUUUCCUGCGUUGCUGCACCGCUCUGGAAAAAGGCCAGCCUGUACAGUACCACGUGGCGUUUACGUCACACCCUGGUAUCGGAUAAAAGGACGCCGGGCCACUGCGACGGACACUUGGCAGCUGGGGCAGCGUACCGAGCGUAUCCGUAACGCUUCCACUUGUUUCUUCAGGGCCUUCCGGAGCAAGCGCGACAGUCUGCCUGAAAGUUCGUGGCCAAGCUACGUAACCGCUGCAUCUUUCCUGCGUUGCUGCACCGCUCUGGAAAAAGGCCAGCCUGUACAGUACCACGUGGCGUUUACGUCACACCCUGGUAUCGGAUAAAAGGACGCCGGGCCACUGCGACGGACACUUGGCAGCUGGGGCAGCGUACCGAGCGUAUCCGUAACGCUUCCACUUGUUUCUUCAGGGCCUUCCGGAGCAAGCGCGACAGUCUGCCUGAAAGUUCGUGGCCAAGCUACGUAACCGCUGCAUCUUUCCUGCGUUGCUGCACCGCUCUGGAAAAAGGCCAGCCUGUACAGUACCACGUGGCGUUUACGUCACACCCUGGUAUCGGAUAAAAGGACGCCGGGCCACUGCGACGGACACUUGGCAGCUGGGGCAGCGUACCGAGCGUAUCCGUAACGCUUCCACUUGUUUCUUCAGGUUGGAACUUUCUCGAUUUUUAGUGCACUCCUUCAAUUUGUAUUUUGCUGUCCCUUGCUGCCACUACAACUGUUGUUGCGUGUUAUUUACCAACAUUGACGAUGUCAGGAGAACUUGAUGCCCUGAAGCGUGAUUUUCGUAAAGAAAUGAGGGAGAUGAAAACUAGUAUGGAUUUCAUCAACAAAGAGUUUGAGUCUCUGAAAAAUGAAUGCACUGAACUAAGAAAGGAAAAUGCCACUCUCAGAGCAACGCAGGAAGCGCUCCUGCAAGAAGUUGAAGCAUUGAAGAAGAAAGCCCAUGAAAAUGCAUUGAGUAUUACAGCGCAGGAACAAUACUCUAGAAAUAAGAAUAUCGAAGUCAAAGGGGUUCCGCAGGUAGCAAACGAGAGCCUUGAAGGCAUACUCAGCAAAGUGGGCGAUCUGAUAGGUGAACCAAUAAG